Molecule: ribosomal RNA, 451 nt
Filed under: uncultured bacterium
Lineage: Bacteria
Description: bacterial SSU rRNA
Rfam family: Bacterial small subunit ribosomal RNA
Source: RNAcentral
GUGGGGAAUAUUGGACAAUGGGGGGAACCCUGAUCCAGCCAUGCCGCGUGUGUGAAGAAGGCCUUUUGGUUGUAAAGCACUUUAAGCGAGGAGGAGGCUACCGAGAUUAAUACUCUUGGAUAGUGGACGUUACUCGCAGAAUAAGCACCGGCUAACUACGUGCCAGCAGCCGCGGUAAUACGUAGGGUGCGAGCGUUAAUCGGAUUUACUGGGCGUAAAGCGCGCGUAGGUGGCCAAUUAAGUCAAAUGUGAAAUCCCCGAGCUUAACUUGGGAAUUGCAUUCGAUACUGGUUGGCUAGAGUAUGGGAGAGGAUGGUAGAAUUCCAGGUGUAGCGGUGAAAUGCGUAGAGAUCUGGAGGAAUACCGAUGGCGAAGGCAGCCAUCUGGCCUAAUACUGACACUGAGGUGCGAAAGCAUGGGGAGCAAACAGGAUUAGAAACCCUUGUAGUCC